UCAACCUUUCGAGCUCUUUCUUCGAAGUGGGGAUUCGCUCCUCUCUCUCUCUCUCUCUCAUCCCUCUUGCGUUCUCCCCUUUCGAAGGCGAGGGGUGCUUCUUUAGUCGUCGAAUCGAAGGCGGAUUUGCACUUCUUCCGAUCGUUCUCCGCAGCUGAUGGGUUCCAGAGUUGUUCCUUUCAGUAAUCCUCGAAACUCUCCUGAUGGAGUUCUCGGAAGACUUGGAUCUCAAGAUACAAGUGGGUUGGUUCUAAAUGGAGAAAGAUCUCUGCUGAUUAGCCAUGAACAGAAUGGCGGUGUAGUUCCCGUAACAAGUCCAUUAGUCAGUGGAAGAAGAGAUAUCAGCAGGUCGAUGGCUGGAUUAAAAUCUUUUCGUGAUGUUGAGAUAGACUUGGAAGAUGGUAAAGUUGAGAAAGAUAGGGAUAAUAUUUUACGUGGCUACAAACCUAUAAAGCUACGUAAUCAAGCUCUUCUUUCUGGUCUUGCAUACUGCAUAUCAUCAUGCAGCAUGAUACUUGUAAACAAGUUUGUGCUGUCAGGCUAUGAUUUUAGUGCUGGAAUAUCGUUAAUGCUUUACCAGAAUCUUGUUUCAGUAAUUGUAGUUUCCAUUUUGAGUUCAUCAGGUGUAAUAUCAACAGAACCUCUCACAUGGAAACUAAUCAGAGUCUGGUUGCCGGUGAAUGUUAUAUUUGUUGGGAUGCUUAUCACAAGCAUGUUUAGCUUAAAAUACAUCAAUGUUGCCAUGGUAACAGUUCUUAAGAAUGUCACUAAUGUCAUUACUGCUCUGGGGGAAACAUAUCUUUUCAUGAAACAUCACGACAAAAAAGUGUGGACAGCCCUGUUCCUAAUGAUAAUUUCUGCGAUUUCUGGAGGGGCAACUGAUCUCUCCUUUCAUGCAACUGGCUAUGCAUGGCAGAUCAUAAAUUGUUUUCUGACAGCAUCAUAUUCGUUAACACUACGACGAGUCAUGGAUACUGCAAAGCAAGUCACUAAAUCUGGAAACUUGAAUGAAUUUUCGAUGGUUUUGCUCAAUAACACUCUUUCUCUGCCUUUGGGACUUUUGCUUAUAUUUGCUUUCAAUGAGGUGGACUAUCUCUAUAAAACGAAGGAGGUGAUAUCUUAUGAAUUCCUAGUGAAUUGGCAGGCCACUUUUGAAGAUGCCUAUGUUCUGGUUGGUGAUAACUUCAAGUGGUUUUUUGGGCCUUGCUAUCAGCUUCACAUCAAUGUGGUUUCUUCAUCAGACGGGUGCAACUACAUAUAGCCUUGUAGGAUCACUCAAUAAGAUUCCUCUUUCGAUUGCUGGGAUCAUUCUCUUCAAAGUUCCAACCAGCAUGGAGAAUUUCUUGAGCAUUCUUUUUGGCCUCUUAGCAGGUGUAUUGUUUGCAAAAGCAAAAAUGCGGGAUGGAUCUCAGUCCUGAGGCAGUAAAAGAUGCUCGUCGGACCACAACUUAGAUUUGAAAAAGAAUUAUGGACAAUUCAAUUAGCGGAGAUGCAACUCAUAUGACAUGAAGUGUUAGUGGAACCGAGGACAUUAUUGAUAACAGGGAACGGAUACAUAGUACAAAGUUCGAUACCACUGAAACCUCCUUAUCCAAGGUUAAAACAUUUUGCAUCGAGGAAAAAGGAAUUUCACUUUCCUGGAGGUAUACAUGGUAGAUAAAUGGGCAUUGGUACAGAAAUUCUUGGCUACCUACCUCUGCCAAUAUAUAUGUAAUUUUUUUGGUGUUAGCUGAUUUGAAUAGGGAGCGCCAUUUCGCCUAGUGCCGAGCUCGAAGCCAAACAUCACGAUGCUACAUUAAUUAUUCUUUUUCAUAAAGAAUAUGCUUCAAUAAUUUUUAUCCUUUCAAGAAUAGUUGUUGGUACGAAGGCAUGUAUGUUGAAUCAAUAACUAAAUUGUCAUUCAGCAUAUAGAGCAGGACAAUGUUGAGAG
Musa acuminata subsp. malaccensis (wild Malaysian banana) is the source of this 1930-nucleotide non-coding RNA. The record is from RefSeq and is a predicted model, not a curated record. Lineage: Eukaryota; Viridiplantae; Streptophyta; Magnoliopsida; Zingiberales; Musaceae.